RNAcentral lists this ribosomal RNA (459 nucleotides) under uncultured bacterium. Its description in RNAcentral is "partial 16S ribosomal RNA". It matches the Rfam family "Bacterial small subunit ribosomal RNA", at positions 338 to 795 of the family's 1533-position model. The record is from RNAcentral.
CCUACGGGGGGCAGCAGUGAGGAAUAUUGGUCAAUGGCCGGAAGGCUGAACCAGCCAGUCGCGUGAGGGAGGACGGCCCUACGGGUUGUAAACCUCUUUUGCCGGGGAGCAACGGGCGUCACGUGUGGCGCCACUGAGAGUACCCGGAGAAAAAGCAUCGGCUAACUCCGUGCCAGCAGCCGCGGUAAUACGGAGGAUGCGAGCGUUAUCCGGAUUUAUGGGGUUUAAAGGGUUCGUAGGCGGAUCGUUAAGUCAGUGGUCAAAUUGAGGGGCUCAACCCCUUCCCGCCAUUGAAGCUGGGGCUCUGGAGUGGAAGAGAAGUAUGCGGAAUGCGUGGUGUAGCGGUGAAAUGCAUAGAUAUCACGCAGAACCCCGAUUGCGAAGGCAGCAUGCCGGCUUCCGACUGACGCUGAAGCACGAAAGCGUGGGGAUCGAACAGGAUUAGAUACCCGGGUAGUC